UCAUAUCCAUUUCAAAUUCCAUACAAGGUUCGAGAAUCAAGACCAAUUCAAAUAUCAAUCCAAUUUUAUUCAAUGUAAAUUCCAUCAUUAUAAUCAAUUAUAAAUUUUCAUUACAUGAGAAAAAUACAAAAAAAAAAGUGUGUUGACUUUUGUCAACAGUUGACUUUUUGGUCAAAUUUGACCAAAGUCAACCCAAUCCCUUUUUCCAUCCUAAUUCUAAUCCAAUCUUCAAUCCUUGAUUCUUGAUCUUUGGUUUGACCAGUUGUAGACGGAUACUUCAAAUUCUAACUUUGAUGCCAUGGACUUUUGUCCAACCAUUGUCACUUCAUGGCAUACUUGAUUAAGGAACAUAGACCUAGCAAAACAAGCUAAUGAACCAAAGUCAAAGUUUGAAAUGAGAAUAGAAACUUAGCAUUACAAAGUCAGAAUGGCACAAGUGAAAACCAUGAAGCAACACAUGCAUGAGAUCUCAAACUGCAAAAACACAAGUCAGAAUGAAUGCAACCUAGCAAGGCAUGAAUGCUAUCAGAAAUAAACAAAAACCACGGGCCAAGUCAUAAGCUUGUUCAAGCAUAGGCCAUGAUACAAACCACGUUAGAAUCCAUGUCAUGAUUCAUGAAUAAAGCCUACAAUAUACCUGAUGCAGAACCAUGAUUCCAUGCUAUAAACCAAGGUUAAACAUAGGCCAAGCAAUGCACAAAGUUGAAACCAUGCUGCAAUGCCAAUGUUACACCACAUGACCUAAUACACAACCUAACCCUUCAUAAAACUAACUAACAACUAAAUUCAACUUGACCAAACCACAAAUAAUGAGGCAAACCCAAUUGUAAUACCUGCCCUGCAAAUCUCAAUUCAUUCAUCACACUCUCCAAUUCAUUCACAUAAUUCCCUCGAUUCCUCAACUCUCAAUCUUUCAAAUUUUCUCUCUAUCCUCUCAGAACUACUCUCACAAAACUCUCUCUCAAUCCAAUUCCUUCUUAACACCAAGUCUCACGCGCGCACAUAAAAAGCAAAAGAAGGUUGAAGAAGAAGUAGAAGAGGCAUUUAAGAACAGAAAGAAAGGAAUAAGAAAGAGAAAUUUGAGGAGAAAGCAAUUGAUACCUGUUUCGAUCCGGUGAGUAUUCGUCGUCUUUUUUCUGUUUUCAUCUCAAGUUUAUGCGCGUUUGAAUUGUCAUGAUUGGAGGAUGAUUUCACAGUUGAAGGUUGAACUCGCAUUUAGGUCUUGAAUUUGUUGUGUUCAUCCAGCGUUGCUUCGCCGUGAGGUAUCGUUGAAACGCCUUGAUUCCGAACGCGGCACUACGAAGAAGAUACGAACGUGAAGCUGGCCGAUAAACACGAAUCCACAUUGAUGAUCGGUGAUUUCAAAAUGCAGAGAUAUGUUGCUUUG
Molecule: long non-coding RNA, 1387 nt
Filed under: Lathyrus oleraceus (garden pea)
Lineage: Eukaryota; Viridiplantae; Streptophyta; Magnoliopsida; Fabales; Fabaceae
Description: Pisum sativum (pea) long non-coding RNA (PSAT_LNC013340)
Source: RNAcentral